GGAUAGGUAACCUCAGCUGUAAGGCUAUUCUUCAAAGGGGGUGUCGGGAUCCGAACUCGGCCACGGUUAAAAUUGUCGGAAACCGAACGGAGAAUGGUCAGGUGGCGUGAUCGCCGGGAGGUUCGGAGUCUCCCCUAAGACUCAUGGGCUGUUCAAAGGAAAGUAUCGUGGAUCAAUAAAUGCCCAAGAUCUGAGGGAAGGUUGAGGAAGUGAAUUAAGGAGAGGAGGGAGAGUGAUGGAUCGGGUACUGAAAUCGGCUAGAUCGUCGGGAUCACUCAACCUCUCCAACCGCUCUCUCAGGGAGUUGCCAAAUGAAGUUUACCAAAACUUGGAUGGUGUUGGUGAGGACGAAAAAUGGUGGGAGGCUGUGGAGUUACAAAAGCUUAUUUUGGCUCACAACAAUCUUAAAGUACUGAAAGAAGACAUCAGAAAUUUAUCUAUGUUGACCGUCCUAAAUGUCAGUCACAAUAAAUUAUCUUGCCUUCCAGCAGCUAUUGGAGAGCUUGCUUUGUUAAAAUCACUGGAUGUUUCAUUUAACUCAAUAACAAGCAUCCCUGAAGAGAUUGGUGCAGCAACUUCAUUGGUUAAGCUUGACUGUUCAAAAAACCUACUUAAAGAACUGCCAUGCAGCCUUGGAAAGUGCUUAAAUUUGUCAGAACUAAAGGCAUCAAACAACUGCAUAAGUAAACUUCCGGAUGAACUUGUCAGUUGUACCAAGUUGAUUAAGUUCGAUGUUGAGGGAAACAAGCUUAUAAUGCUCUCCGAGAAUAUGCUCGUGUCAUGGACCAUGCUUACAGAACUCAAUGCUGCAAGAAACCUGCUCACUAGCAUUCCAGAUAGCAUAGGAGCUCUUUCACAACUGAUCCGCCUGGACUUCCAUCAAAAUAAAAUUUCAUCCAUUCCACCUUCAAUCAUGGGUUGCUCUUCACUUGCUGAGUUUUAUAUGGGGACCAAUCUACUAUCAUCACUACCAGCAGAGAUAGGUUCACUUUCUCGUUUAGGGACAUUAGAUCUUCAUUCAAAUCAGCUGAAGGAGUAUCCUGUGGAGGCCUGCAAGCUGCAACUCUCUGUCUUGGAUUUGUCAAAUAACUCAUUGUCUGGCUUGCCUCCUGAGAUUGGUACUAUGACAACCCUAAGAAAGCUUUUGCUGACUGGCAAUCCCCUAAGAAGCCUUCGAAGCUCAUUAGUAUCUGGACCUACACCAGCAUUAUUAAAGUAUCUGAGAAGUCGUCUCUCUUCCAAUGAAGAAGAAUCUACCACCACUCCCACAAAAGAUGAUGAAAUUGGUAUGGCAACCCGGCUUUCUUUGUCUUCGAAGGAGUUAAAUUUAAAUGGUCUAGGAUUGACCUGUGUACCACCUGCAGUGUGGGAGACAGAUGAGGUGGUGAAAGUUGAUCUUUCUAGAAAUUCAAUUGAAGAGCUACCAAAUGAACUAUCAACCUGUUCCUCAAUUCAGGUUUUGGUUUUGUCCAGGAACAAGAUAAAAGAAUGGCCGGGGGCAGUUCUGUUUUCUCUUCCCAAUCUUUCCUGUUUGAAGCUGGACAAUAAUCCCUUGGCACCGAUUCCAUCUACUGGCCUUGAAGCCAUCACCAAGCUUGCGAUACUUGAUCUAAGUUGCAAUACAUCCUCAUUGCCAGAACCUUCUAUUCUUUCAAGCUUGUCACAGUUGCAGGAACUGUACCUAAGACGAAUGCAGUUGGCCCAAUUCCCUUUGGGCUUAUUGUGCUUGAGGCAACUAAGGAUUCUCAACUUAAGCCAGAACUCUAUUGUAUCAAUUCCUCAGGAAAUCAAGGAGUUGACUUAUCUUACAGAGCUUGAUCUGUCUGACAACAACAUUGCUGCACUUCCUUCAGAGCUGAAGUCACAUUGGUGAAGUUCUUAGGUGGAAAUUUAUUGAACAGGGUUUGCUUGAACCCAGCCUCCAAGUCUUGAAGCUGGAUGGGAACCCCUUGAGGAGCAUAAGGCGCACUAUUUUGGAUCGAGGAACAAAAGCUAUUCUAAAGUAUCUGAAAGACAAGCUUCCAGACCAAUAAUUCUGUAGACAUGUGUUUCAAUCAAUUGAACCUUAAUGUUAGCAUGCUUCUUAUUUUAAAUUCGAAUGACCUGAGUUUCCCUUGGUAAAUCUGAGUGAACAAAAGCUUGUAAUUGUUUCAAAUGAUUUUUUUCAUCAACAACAAAUGUCUGUUUUUGGUUUGUAGUACUGGACCUUACGAAGUUCUGAAGCGGUGACUGUAAGAUUUGUCAACUUUGAAAUGCUAAAGUUUGUACGUCAUUAGAUUUGACA
This is an RNA transcript of Elaeis guineensis (African oil palm), 2284 nucleotides long. It is a transcript of the gene named plant intracellular Ras-group-related LRR protein 6, with no coding region annotated. NCBI's taxonomy places the organism in Eukaryota, Viridiplantae, Streptophyta, Magnoliopsida, Arecales, Arecaceae. The record is from RefSeq and is a predicted model, not a curated record.